RNAcentral lists this ribosomal RNA (2890 nucleotides) under Vibrio parahaemolyticus. RNAcentral's name for it is "bacterial LSU rRNA". It matches the Rfam family "Bacterial large subunit ribosomal RNA". The record is from RNAcentral. Lineage: Bacteria; Pseudomonadati; Pseudomonadota; Gammaproteobacteria; Vibrionales; Vibrionaceae.
GGUUAAGUGACUAAGCGUACACGGUGGAUGCCUUGGCAGUCAGAGGCGAUGAAAGACGUAGUAACUUGCGAUAAGCCCAGAUUAGGUAGUAACAACCAUUUGAGUCUGGGAUUUCUGAAUGGGGAAACCCACGUGCAUAAGCACGUAUCCUUACCUGAAUACAUAGGGUAAGGAGGCGAACCGGGGGAACUGAAACAUCUAAGUACCCCGAGGAAAAGAAAUCAACCGAGAUUCCGAAAGUAGCGGCGAGCGAAAUUGGACUAGCCCUUAAGCUUUACACGCGUUAGACGAACGGUCUGGAAAGUCCGACGAUACAGGGUGAUAGUCCCGUAGUUGACGACGUGUGUUCAGUGAAAUCGAGUAGGGCGGGACACGUGAUAUCCUGUCUGAAUAUGGGGGGACCAUCCUCCAAGGCUAAAUACUACUGACUGACCGAUAGUGAACCAGUACCGUGAGGGAAAGGCGAAAAGAACCCCUGUGAGGGGAGUGAAAUAGAACCUGAAACCGUGUACGUACAAGCAGUAGGAGCACCUUCGUGGUGUGACUGCGUACCUUUUGUAUAAUGGGUCAGCGACUUAUAUUCAGUGGCAAGGUUAACCAUCUAGGGGAGCCGUAGGGAAACCGAGUCUUAACUGGGCGUUCAGUCUCUGGAUAUAGACCCGAAACCAGGUGAUCUAGCCAUGGGCAGGUUGAAGGUUGAGUAACAUCAACUGGAGGACCGAACCGACUAAUGUUGAAAAAUUAGCGGAUGACUUGUGGCUAGGGGUGAAAGGCCAAUCAAACCUGGAGAUAGCUGGUUCUCCCCGAAAGCUAUUUAGGUAGCGCCUCGGACGAAUACUACUGGGGGUAGAGCACUGUUAAGGCUAGGGGGUCAUCCCGACUUACCAACCCUUUGCAAACUCCGAAUACCAGUAAGUACUAUCCGGGAGACACACGGCGGGUGCUAACGUCCGUCGUGGAGAGGGAAACAACCCAGACCGCCAGCUAAGGUCCCAAAUUACUACUAAGUGGGAAACGAUGUGGGAAGGCUCAGACAGCCAGGAUGUUGGCUUAGAAGCAGCCAUCAUUUAAAGAAAGCGUAAUAGCUCACUGGUCGAGUCGGCCUGCGCGGAAGAUGUAACGGGGCUAAGUAGUAAACCGAAGCUGCGGCAAUAUACUUUUGUAUAUUGGGUAGGGGAGCGUUCUGUAAGCGGUUGAAGGUGUGUGGUAACGCAUGCUGGACGUAUCAGAAGUGCGAAUGCUGACAUGAGUAACGAUAAAGGGGGUGAAAAACCUCCUCGCCGGAAGACCAAGGGUUCCUGUCCAACGUUAAUCGGGGCAGGGUAAGUCGACCCCUAAGGCGAGGCCGAAAGGCGUAGUCGAUGGGAAACGGGUUAAUAUUCCCGUACUUCUUACAAUUGCGAUGGGGGGACGGAGAAGGCUAGGUGGGCCUGGCGACGGUUGUCCAGGUUCAAGUGCGUAGGCUUAAGAGUUAGGUAAAUCCGGCUCUUUUUAAGGCUGAGACACGACGUCGAGCACCUACGGGUGUGAAGUCAUUGAUGCCAUGCUUCCAGGAAAAGCCUCUAAGCUUCAGAUUGUAAGGAAUCGUACCCCAAACCGACACAGGUGGUCGGGUAGAGAAUACCAAGGCGCUUGAGAGAACUCGGGUGAAGGAACUAGGCAAAAUGGUACCGUAACUUCGGGAGAAGGUACGCUCUUGAUGGUGAAGUCCCUCGCGGAUGGAGCUGACGAGAGUCGCAGAUACCAGGUGGCUGCAACUGUUUAUUAAAAACACAGCACUGUGCAAAAUCGUAAGAUGACGUAUACGGUGUGACGCCUGCCCGGUGCCGGAAGGUUAAUUGAUGGGGUUAGACUUCGGUCGAAGCUCUUGAUCGAAGCCCCGGUAAACGGCGGCCGUAACUAUAACGGUCCUAAGGUAGCGAAAUUCCUUGUCGGGUAAGUUCCGACCUGCACGAAUGGCGUAAUGAUGGCCACGCUGUCUCCACCCGAGACUCAGUGAAAUUGAAAUCGCUGUGAAGAUGCAGUGUACCCGCGGCUAGACGGAAAGACCCCGUGAACCUUUACUACAGCUUGGCACUGAACAUUGACCCUACAUGUGUAGGAUAGGUGGGAGGCUUUGAAGCACGUACGCCAGUAUGUGUGGAGCCGUCCUUGAAAUACCACCCUUGUAGUGUUGAUGUUCUAACGUCGACCCCUAAUCGGGGUUGCGGACAGUGCCUGGUGGGUAGUUUGACUGGGGCGGUCUCCUCCCAAAGAGUAACGGAGGAGCACGAAGGUGGGCUAAUCACGGUUGGACAUCGUGAGGUUAGUGCAAUGGCAUAAGCCCGCUUGACUGCGAGAAUGACAAUUCGAGCAGGUGCGAAAGCAGGUCAUAGUGAUCCGGUGGUUCUGAAUGGAAGGGCCAUCGCUCAACGGAUAAAAGGUACUCCGGGGAUAACAGGCUGAUACCGCCCAAGAGUUCAUAUCGACGGCGGUGUUUGGCACCUCGAUGUCGGCUCAUCACAUCCUGGGGCUGAAGUCGGUCCCAAGGGUAUGGCUGUUCGCCAUUUAAAGUGGUACGCGAGCUGGGUUUAGAACGUCGUGAGACAGUUCGGUCCCUAUCUGCCGUGGGCGUUGGAAGAUUGAAGGGGGCUGCUCCUAGUACGAGAGGACCGGAGUGGACGAACCUCUGGUGUUCGGGUUGUGUCGCCAGACGCAUUGCCCGGUAGCUAAGUUCGGAAUCGAUAACCGCUGAAAGCAUCUAAGCGGGAAGCGAGCCCUGAGAUGAGUCUUCCCUGAUACUUUAAGUAUCCUAAAGGGUUGUCGGAGACUACGACGUUGAUAGGUCAGGUGUGUAAGUGCUGUGAGGCAUUGAGCUAACUGAUACUAAUUGCCCGUGAGGCUUAACCAU